AAAUUGAAGAGUUUGAUCAUGGCUCAGAUUGAACGCUGGCGGCAGGCCUAACACAUGCAAGUCGAACGGUAGCACAGAGAGCUUGCUCUCGGGUGACGAGUGGCGGACGGGUGAGUAAUGUCUGGGAAACUGCCUGAUGGAGGGGGAUAACUACUGGAAACGGUGGCUAAUACCGCAUAACGUCGCAAGACCAAAGAGGGGGACCUUCGGGCCUCUUGCCAUCAGAUGUGCCCAGAUGGGAUUAGCUUGUUGGUGAGGUAACGGCUCACCAAGGCGACGAUCCCUAGCUGGUCUGAGAGGAUGACCAGCCACACUGGAACUGAGACACGGUCCAGACUCCUACGGGAGGCAGCAGUGGGGAAUAUUGCACAAUGGGCGCAAGCCUGAUGCAGCCAUGCCGCGUGUAUG
RNAcentral lists this ribosomal RNA (408 nucleotides) under Salmonella enterica subsp. enterica serovar Infantis. Its description in RNAcentral is "partial 16S ribosomal RNA". It matches the Rfam family "Bacterial small subunit ribosomal RNA", at positions 1 to 407 of the family's 1533-position model. The record is from RNAcentral. RNAcentral also lists the same sequence under 1 other name. Lineage: Bacteria; Pseudomonadati; Pseudomonadota; Gammaproteobacteria; Enterobacterales; Enterobacteriaceae.